Molecule: ribosomal RNA, 1113 nt
Filed under: Halocaridinides trigonophthalma
Lineage: Eukaryota; Metazoa; Arthropoda; Malacostraca; Decapoda; Atyidae
Description: eukaryotic LSU rRNA
Rfam family: Eukaryotic large subunit ribosomal RNA
Source: RNAcentral
CGGGAUUCCCUGAGUAGGGGCGACUGAAACGGGACCUAGCCCAGCGCAUAACCUCGCGGCUCGAACAGAGCUGUCGAGGGGUGUUGCGUAUCGGUGGCUCCGUCCCGCUCGUGCUGUGCCGCCUAAGUUACCGUUUGAGUGCAGCUCCAAGGAGGGUGGAAGACCCGUGUGGCGGCGCCCGCGAGGGCUCAUACAGUGCGGGCGGAGGGAGCGCUUCACCGGAGAGUCGGGUUGCUUAAUACUGCAGCCCUAAGAGAGGUGGUAAACUCCAUCUAAGGCUAAAUACUCCCACGAGUCCGAUAGCUAACAAGUACCGUGAGGGAAAGUUGAAAAGAACUUUGAAGAGAGAGUUCAUAAGAAUGUGAAGCCGCUAGGAGCUUAAACGGGUGGAACUGCGAAGGACGAACGAGGGUAUUCACCUCGUCGGAGGGACGGGACUGGGGUGUUUCAAAUGGCCGGCGCCAAGACCAAACCAAAGUGAGCGCAGGAACACCCCUGACCGUCCGACAGACAGGUCCCUCCGGCGGGCGUACUUGUCCCCUCCAGUAGUGUGACGCAGCGAGCCAUCUGCCAGGAGCCAGGAGGGCCGGUAUGUCGUGUCCGGACUGGUACCCUCAGUCAGGAGGGGAAACCGGCACGUGCUGCACGAUGACUGGCUCCGGAGAUGGCGCACUCCCAGGGGGCUGGCCAAAAGCCUCUCGCUGUGAAGUAGCGGUGAUCCACCUGACCCGUCUUGAAACACGGACCAAGGAGUCUAACCUGUGCGCGAGUCUAAGGGUGUGGCGAGACCCGGAGGCGCAAUGAAAGUGAGCGAAUUUGUUCCACAAGUUCUAUGCUGGCCGAUCCCUGGCUUUUGUCAGGGCGCAGGCCGAGGACUCGCCGCUCGGCGGCUGCCUGCUCCGGCCUACCCUAAGCCCUUCACGGGGCCGGGUGGGCUGGGCUGGGCGGUCCGCUGGCGAGUACCUUGAGAGCGCACACGUUGGGACCCGAAAGAUGGUGAACUAUGCCUGGCCAGGACGAAGCCAGAGGAAACUCUGGUGGAGGUCCGAACCAGUUCUGACGUGCAAAUCGAUUGUCAGAGCUGGGUAUAGGGGCGAAAGACUAAUCGAACCA